GGCUAGCGGAGCCCUCCCUGCUCCCGGGCGGCUCUGGAGGAGCUCGGUGUUUGCCUCUAGCCCUUCGCUACCGGAGGAUCAGGUUCCUCCCCUCCUCCCCCUCCAGCUCCGGCCGCCGCCGCCGCCGCCGCCGCCUCCUUCUUGCAUGACACAGCAGAACCGCAGCUGCUGCAGCAAUUUCAAGCCAUCCGCCCAGGAAGCGCCGCAACCGGGACUCGGGAGGGGUGGAGGGGGCGAGGCAGAGGCCGCGGCCCCAGGGGAUCCUUGGCCCCACUGUGCACCACACACUCCUUUCCCAGCCCAGGGGCACGCGAACAAAAUGAGGCUCAAGCUGACCAGGCCGAGCCGGAGGAACGCUGGGGCUUGGCAGCAGAAGGGAUGGGACCAGAGAGAAGGGUGUGGAGGAGACCCCAGUGAGGGCCAGGACAUUUCAGGUAAAGAGAGGUCAUAUCUCCGUACCUCACUUCCUGACACAAACAAGUUUUCACUGUUGUCAGCA
Molecule: long non-coding RNA, 499 nt
Filed under: Homo sapiens (human)
Lineage: Eukaryota; Metazoa; Chordata; Mammalia; Primates; Hominidae
Description: non-protein coding LINC-PINT:1
Source: RNAcentral